Choiromyces venosus 120613-1 is the source of this 84-nucleotide non-coding RNA. NCBI's taxonomy places the organism in Eukaryota, Fungi, Ascomycota, Pezizomycetes, Pezizales, Tuberaceae. The record is from the annotation of a GenBank genome assembly.
GCCUCGCUAGCUCAAUCGGUAGAGCGUGAGACUCUUAACGGGAGAUUCAUCUCAAGGUUGCGGGUUCGACCCCCGCGUGGGGCU